Molecule: unclassified non-coding RNA, 636 nt
Filed under: Zea mays
Lineage: Eukaryota; Viridiplantae; Streptophyta; Magnoliopsida; Poales; Poaceae
Description: misc RNA Zm00001eb005750
Source: RNAcentral
CCAGGCCGUGUCGUCCACUUCUUCACCGCCACUUCUACUGCCGAAAGUUAUUACACCUCGUGCUCGCGCAUGCGCAUGCAGGUGCAAUGACAUGCAUUUCUUCACUAACUACUACGUACUCUACCAACCAGGUUGCCAUUGCCACAAUCAACAGUCGUUCCACAGCGCGAACAUCGGUAGCUGAUGCACGCCGGGCACCGGCCGCGCUGCCGCCGCCGCCGCCAUCCAGCUGCUUCCCUCCCCGGCCUCCAGUUUCAUGGGGUGGCCGUACUGGAGGCCGUGCAGCAGGUGGGCGCCGCGGUGGCCGUCGGAGGUGUCCGAGUUGUCGGACGCGGCUUGGUCGCCCGGCGCGUCCGACGAGCGGUCGGCGCCACCUGCGAGCGCCGGCGCCGCGUCCGGCGGCCGCGUCGGGGAGCGCCUGCACGCGUCGCCGCCGCCGAUGAGGUGGGUGCUGGCGCAGAUGCGCUUCACGUCGUACUUGCUGAUGUCGAAGUUGGUCACCGCGUUGAGGCCACGGAACUUGAUCGCCGCGAUGUCGUACGCCUCCGCCGCUUCCUCCUGCGUGCCUGCGCAAAUUUAUUAAUUGUUACUACUAUCAGGGGGGAGAAAAAAGAUCACAAGGCGAGUGCUUUCACA